CCAAAACUUUUCUGGAGGUGACUUGUGUAUUUACAUAAGUGUAUUGUUUGAUUAAUCAUCCCAUUUGUUUAAAGACUAUAUUGAAUAUCCUACCUACGAAAGUAGUUUAGGUUAACAAGGGACAAGUGAACUCAACAGAGAGAAAAAAGAACUGAACAAUGGGAUUAUGGGAAGAAGAAAGGGGAAGAGCGCGAGGGAGAGAGGAAGAAGAAGCUAAUGGUGACCGCUGCUAAUAAUUCUGCAGUGAAAAGCACGGAGGAAAACUGCGGCGGAAUCAAGGAGAACUGCGGCUGAUCCGAGGUGGCGAGAGGGACAUGGCGACACUGAUUUCAGCGCGACGGAGGAGUAGUCCUGCAACUCGGGUGGCGGAGUUUUAAAGGAAGUUGGACUCGCGAAGCAUCCUUCACGGAGAGGACGUCGGCUGAGCGAGCAGGUCGGAGUUGGUUCGUUGUUUAAACGGAGAAGAGGAUCGUCGAAGCGACAUCGAUCUCUAGUUUCACCAGGCCUGCAACGAAACCUUAAACCGG
Molecule: long non-coding RNA, 527 nt
Organism: Xiphophorus couchianus (Monterrey platyfish)
Lineage: Eukaryota; Metazoa; Chordata; Actinopteri; Cyprinodontiformes; Poeciliidae
Exons: 2
Source: RefSeq, a predicted model, not a curated record